CCUACGGGAGGCAGCAGUGGGGAAUUUUCCGCAAUGGGCGAAAGCCUGACGGAGCAACGCCGCGUGAGGGAUGAAGGCCUCUGGGCUGUAAACCUCUUUUAUCAAGGAAGAAGAUCUGACGGUACUUGAUGAAUAAGCCACGGCUAAUUCCGUGCCAGCAGCCGCGGUAAUACGGGAGUGGCAAGCGUUAUCCGGAAUUAUUGGGCGUAAAGCGUCCGCAGGCGGCCCUUCAAGUCUGCUGUUAAAAAGUGGAGCUUAACUCCAUCAUGGCAGUGGAAACUGUUGGGCUUGAGUGUGGUAGGGGCAGAGGGAAUUCCCGGUGUAGCGGUGAAAUGCGUAGAUAUCGGGAAGAACACCAGUGGCGAAGGCGCUCUGCUGGGCCAUCACUGACGCUCAUGGACGAAAGCCAGGGGAGCGAAAGGGAUUAGAUACCCCUGUAGUCCUGGCCGUAAACGAUGAACACUAGGUGUCGGGGGAAUCGACCCCCUCGGUGUCGUAGCCAACGCGUUAAGUGUUCCGCCUGGGGAGUACGCACGCAAGUGUGAAACUCAAAUGAAUUGACGG
This 564-nucleotide ribosomal RNA is filed under the name uncultured bacterium. RNAcentral describes it as "bacterial SSU rRNA". It matches the Rfam family "Bacterial small subunit ribosomal RNA", at positions 338 to 916 of the family's 1533-position model. The record is from RNAcentral.